AACUUACACUUUAUUCUUUUAAAAAAUAAAAAAUAUUCACAGGGAGUACGCUGUGAUGAAAUGACCAAAUUACUUCUCAUCUUCUUCAGGGUGGGCGUGGACGGAGAGGUGGACGAGGGUGAGGGUGAGACGGCAAAGGCCAGCGAGAGCGCGUGUGUGGGCAUGAACAGAAAGAUGGGCGAGGACGAGGUGGCGCGGCGGAGGAUGAGAAAAGAGGACGAUUUCAGGAAUAUUUUGGAUAUAAAAAAAUAGAAUAUAAACGAAAUCCUAACGGAACACUAACGGUAAGAAUCAAAGUGAACAUUUUUUAUUUUUUAAGAGGGCAAAACGUAUUAUUUUCGAUUGACAGAGAAAAAAAGUAAAAAAAGGGAUAUUGACAGGGGCUUUUCU
This 390-nucleotide long non-coding RNA is filed under the name Ananas comosus (pineapple). Its description in RNAcentral is "long non-coding RNA (ACOM_LNC039319)". The record is from RNAcentral. Lineage: Eukaryota; Viridiplantae; Streptophyta; Magnoliopsida; Poales; Bromeliaceae.